Molecule: ribosomal RNA, 253 nt
Filed under: uncultured bacterium
Lineage: Bacteria
Description: partial 16S ribosomal RNA
Rfam family: Bacterial small subunit ribosomal RNA
Source: RNAcentral
UACGAAGGGGGCUAGCGUUGUUCGGAAUCACUGGGCGUAAAGGGCGCGUAGGCGGCUGUUCAAGUCGGGGGUGAAAGCCUGUGGCUCAACCACAGAAUUGCCUUCGAUACUGGACGGCUCGAGACCGGAAGAGGUCAGUGGAACUGCGUGUGUAGAGGUGAAAUUCGUAGAUAUUCGCAAGAACACCAGUGGCGAAGGCGGCUGACUGGUCCGGUUCUGACGCUGAGGCGCGAAAGCGUGGGGAGCAAACAGG